AUGGAUUAGCGGCGGACGGGUGAGUAACACGUGAGUAACCUGCCUUUGACAUAGGGAUAGCCUCGGGAAACUGGGAUUAAUACCAAAUGAAACUAUUUUACCGCAUGGUAGAAUAGUCAAAGAAUAUCGGUCAAAGAUGGACUCGCGGCUGAUUAGCUAGUUGGUGAGGUAACGGCCCACCAAGGCGACGAUCAGUAGCCGGCCUGAGAGGGUGAACGGCCACAUUGGAACUGAGACACGGUCCAAACUCC
RNAcentral lists this ribosomal RNA (251 nucleotides) under uncultured bacterium. Its description in RNAcentral is "partial 16S ribosomal RNA". It matches the Rfam family "Bacterial small subunit ribosomal RNA", at positions 87 to 339 of the family's 1533-position model. The record is from RNAcentral.